UUAACCGACAAUGUUUAACCUAAAAGCAUGUCCUAGAGCCGCGGAAUGAAGAUUUGACCGACAAUGUUUAUUUCCUUGCGAGUUCGAAUUCCAAGGCACAUCAAAUGGAACAUUCAGUUUCCAUUGAAUGAAUGGAACUUGAAUUAUUAUACUUUAUUUUAUUCCUAAGAAUCAUUCUUUAGUGUAAUCUUUAUUUUUAAAAGUAAGUUUGCAAUGGAAAA
This is a non-coding RNA of Paramuricea clavata, 221 nucleotides long. NCBI's taxonomy places the organism in Eukaryota, Metazoa, Cnidaria, Anthozoa, Malacalcyonacea, Plexauridae. The record is from the annotation of a GenBank genome assembly.